This 1512-nucleotide ribosomal RNA is filed under the name Proba sp. WCW-2003. RNAcentral's name for it is "SSU rRNA". It matches the Rfam family "Eukaryotic small subunit ribosomal RNA", at positions 396 to 1802 of the family's 1831-position model. The record is from RNAcentral. Lineage: Eukaryota; Metazoa; Arthropoda; Insecta; Hemiptera; Miridae.
UUGAGAACGGCUCCACAUCCAGGUAGGCAGCAGGCACGCAAAUUACCCACUCCCGGCACGGGGAGGUAGUGACAAUAAAUAACGAUACGGGACUCUUAUGAGGCCCCGUAAUCGGAAUGAGUACACUUUAAAUCCUUUAACAAGGAUCCAUUGAAGGGCAAGUCUGGUGCCAGCAGCCGCGGUAAUUCCAGCUUCAAUAGCCGUAUAUUAAAGUUGUUGCGGUUAAAAAGCUCGUAGUUGGUUCUGCGUGCCACGCUGUCGGUUCGCCGCCUGCCGGUGUAACUGGCAUGUCGUGGCAUGUCCUGUCGGUGGCGUUCGGGAGCCUUGUCUAGGCGACGGCCCUUGCCAAAAGCUUGGUGUCCGGAGGCCGGGGGUCCACCCGUUCGCCUACUCUAUCCUACCUAGGUGCUCUUUACCGAGUGUCGAGGUAGGCCGACACGUUUACUUUGAACAAAUUAGAGUGCUCAAAGCAGGCUAAAAUCUCUGCCUGAAUAGUGGUGCAUGGAAUAAUAAAACAGGACCUUGGUUCUAUUUUGUUGGUUCUUAGGAACACAAGGUAAUGAUCAAUACGGACAGGCGGGGGCAUUCGUAUUGCGACGUUAGACUUGGCAAAUGCUUUCGCGGUGAAAUUCUUGGAUCGUCGCAAGACGCACAAGAGCGAAAGCAUUUGCCAAGUAUGUCUUGAUUGAUCAAGAACGAAAGUUAGAGGUUCGAAGGCGAUCAGAUACCGCCCUAGUUCUAACCAUAAACGAUGCCAGCCAGCGAUCCGCCGAUGUUCCUCCGAUGACUCGGCGGGGAGCUUCUUCCCGGGAAACCAAAGCUUUUGGGUUCCGGGGGAAGUAUGGUUGCAAAGCUGAAACUUAAAGGAAUUGACGGAAGGGCACCACCAGGAGUGGAGCCUGCGGCUUAAUUUGACUCAACACGGGAAACCUCACCAGGCCAGGACAUUGGAAGGAUUGACAGAUUGAUAGCUCUUUCUUGAUUCAGUGGGUAGUGGUGCAUGGCCGUUCUUAGUUGGUGGAUCGAUUUGUCUGGUUAAUUCCGAUAACGAACGAGACUCUAGCCUAUUAACUAGGCGUUUACCGGUGUCCCCGCCACCGGCGACAAUCAUUCUUCUUAAGGGGACAGGCGGCUUAUAGCCGCACGAGAUUGAGCAAUAACAGGUCUGUGAUGCCCUUAGAUGUCCUGGGCCGCACGCGCGCUACACUGAAGGAAUCAGCGUGUGCCUCCCUGGCCGAAAGGCCCGGGUAAUCCGCUGAACCUCCUGCGUGCUAGGAAUUGGGGCUUGCAAUUGUUCCCCAUGAACGAGGAAUUCCCAGUAAGCGCGAGUCAUAAGCUCGCGUUGAUUACGUCCCUGCCCUUUGUACACACCGCCCGUCGCUACUACCGAUUGAAUGAUUUAGUGAGGUCUUCGGACUGGCGGUAAUCCCUUCCGACUUGUCGGUAGCGAUGAACGCUGGAAAGAUGACCAAACUUGAUCAUUUAGAGGAAGUAAAAGUCGUAACAAGGUUC